GACGAACGCUGGCGGCGUGCUUAACACAUGCCAGUCGAACGGAAAGGCCCUGCUUUUGUGGGGUGCUCGAGUGGCGAACGGGUGAGUAACACGUGAGUAACCUGCCCUUGACUUUGGGAUAACUUCAGGAAACUGGGGCUAAUACCGGAUAGGAGCUCCUGCUGCAUGGUGGGGGUUGGAAAGUUUCGGCGGUUGGGGAUGGACUCGCGGCUUAUCAGCUUGUUGGUGGGGUAGUGGCUUACCAAGGCUUUGACGGGUAGCCGGCCUGAGAGGGUGACCGGCGACAUUGGGACUGAGAUACGGACCAGACUCCUACGGGAGGCAGCAGUGGGGAAUAUUGCACAAUGGGCGGGAGCCUGAUGCAGAAACGCCGCGGGCGGGAUGACGGCCUGCGGGUUGUAAAACGCUUUCGCCUGUGACGAAGCGUGAGUGACGGUAAUGUGUAAAGAAGCACCGGCUAACUACGUG
Molecule: ribosomal RNA, 468 nt
Filed under: uncultured bacterium
Lineage: Bacteria
Description: partial 16S ribosomal RNA
Rfam family: Bacterial small subunit ribosomal RNA
Source: RNAcentral